UGCUGGGGCCGGGGCGCGGGCGCGGGCGCACGACGGCCGCGUGAGUGAGGCGUGGCAAGGGGGAACCCAGCGGCAGGGAUUCUGCUGCGUUUGACCGCGCGCGGGGCCGUCCGUCCCACGCGCGCCGCACCGCGCCGCGCGCUUUUCCCUGUGGACUGCGGACGGGCGGGCGAGGGGAAGGGAAAAUAUGCGUGGCGUUGGUUUUACCCGGGCGAGGAGGAGGAAUCAGGGCAGGGGAUAAGGAGGAGGAGCUUUGAAUUGCGGGGAAGUUUUAUUCUAGUUGCGAAAAGAAAAAAAAACUGCGACUUAUUUCCAGGAUAACGCAUCUGCUUUGCAGUUGGACGCUUGAAGUCCACGCGAAAGUCUGGCAUCGCCAAUUCGCCAUGGAUCUGUUACCCUGCCCUGCCCAUGAGUUUGCCUGGUCAUCAAGGGCCUCUACUUUUCGAAACCUGAAUAUUCAUGCCUACGGUGCAGCCAAGCUUCAGUCAUCAAGACGUGUCAACCAGAUCGCCUGCCACCUGAUGUCAUCUGCGCCGUGAUGAGAAACCCUACAGCCUGCCUUGCUUGCUCUCUCUAUUCGAUGAGAUUAUCUUCUGUGUUGUUGCUGCCCAUUGCCAAUCGAGUGCAGCUUGAUCACUAGAAACACAGCAUCUGCAUGCCGGCCCUCCAUCUCUAUGGCUCACGAGUUGCCCGUGCACUGCAAUUCUGCAAAUCUUUAUCACCUAGUACCUGUGCCUUCGACCUG
Molecule: long non-coding RNA, 745 nt
Organism: Sorghum bicolor (sorghum)
Lineage: Eukaryota; Viridiplantae; Streptophyta; Magnoliopsida; Poales; Poaceae
Exons: 3
Source: RefSeq, a predicted model, not a curated record